This is a long non-coding RNA of Anguilla rostrata (American eel), 1358 nucleotides long. RefSeq lists it as uncharacterized. The record is from RefSeq and is a predicted model, not a curated record. The transcript has 2 exons. Lineage: Eukaryota; Metazoa; Chordata; Actinopteri; Anguilliformes; Anguillidae.
UCACACGGUGACAAAUUGUGUUCUGUUAUACCUGUGUUUAUUGUGGAUGUAUUAUCUUUUGUAUGUAUGCGUGUUCACUGUUUUAUAUUUUCAGUUUCUGGACGGCACAAUUGAGAGUGAUGCCUCACUAGUGAUCCCUCACUAGUGUCUAAAUGAUGAACAGGUGUUUGGAGUUUUCUGAUUGGAGGGGCAGGACGCUAAAUGGUCUAUGGAGGAUUAUUAAGCUGGAGCCAUGCCGAACAGAGGGGAGUUUGGGUGCAUCGGUUUGGAAGCGAGCUCGGCGAAAGUUGUUUGUUCUGGUUCACGCGAGUGACAAACUACAAUAGCACUGUGCUGAGAACUGGUUGCGCAUCCUAUGUCCAUGACAAGGCGAAACGAAGUGGGAAAUCGCAAAGAAGGAGAACCUGAGUUGCCGAGAGCUAAGUGACGCCGGUUUCUUGCGGCCCAGUGUGCUGGUUUGUAACAUUAGAGGGGCUACGGCGUGGACUGUGAACAUUCGCCUCAUUUGCUGCAGAGUAGCCUACUCUUUAAGAAGAUUGUGUCUAUUUUAUUCUACACGUGUGGCCCAGCGGAGGCAUCUGAACUCUGUUUCUUUUGGAUCCCAUUUAUUUUAAAUGUUGUAAACGGAUGUUUGCUAAUUAGCAUUAAUAUUUGGGUUGUUUUAGAUAUUUAUCUUGCUCACCAGUUUGGGCAGAAGCCCUGGGGGAAACCUCAAUACGAAGUUGACUGUUUGUCUAAGGGGUGGGGGGUCUGUGGAAAUUAACGUGGAUCUUGUGGUUGCCUGCUGGUAUUGUGUUUUGACUGUGUUUGGAGUAGCAAGAAUGACUGCUGUUAUGCCAUAUGCUACUGUGUGCGAACAUUUGUUAACCAGUAUCUCGCUUGUUAAUUGGACCUUUUUUUUUUAUACAGGAGGAGUGCACUGUAGAAUGUAGGUGCACUCUAGCCUUCAAUCUGUUAAAUUUUUUUGUGUGUAGGAAUUUUGCGGUGUCACUAACUUCUCUUUGGUAGCAUUUGUAGCAAGUGGGUGUUCAUUCCCAUCCCCGUAUUUGGUGAUUGCCGCCUACAUUGAUUUUGUGUGUGUGUGUGUGUGUGUGUGUGUGUGUGUGUGUGUGUGUGUAGCAGGCUGCCGUAAACGCUUUUUUCUCCCUUUGCUCUCUGCCAAAUUUUACUGUUUAAAGAUUUGUUUCUUUCUUGCCUUCGACAUGUUCUACUCAGAGCAUAGUUAAAACAGAACAGUCCGCCUGAAUUUUAUAGACUGUAGGUACUGCCCCCUGGGGAGGAAUGUCGAUAUUUGUGGGGUGUUUUUUUUUUCUUUUUUUUUUUCUUUUAAACAUUUGUAAUAAACGGUGUGCUUGAUU